GACUGAGAGUCUUGUUUCUGAUUCCAAGUUAUGCAUGCUUACACACAUUAAUUCUGUCACCUGGAUCAUAGAUUCAGGGGCAUCUAAUCAUAUGACAUGAUAAAAACUUACUCUUUAACAUCAUGCCUUUGACUGUUCCUUAUCUUGUAACUUUGCCUAAUGGUUACAAAGUGAAAGUAACUUGUACAGGUUCUUUUGCAUUAACUCCAUUCAUUACUCUUCACAAUGUACUGCUGGUCCCUUCCUUUAAACAUAACUUGAUUUCUGUCCACAAGUUAGUAAAACAGUUGCACUGUAUAGUUUUGUUUACUCCAACUUCCUGUUUACUCCACAUGAUACAGGACCCUUCUCUGAAGAGGCUUCUGGAUCUUGGUAAAGAGGAAGCUGGCCUAUACAAACUGUCUUGGAUGCCACCUUCCCCUUCUUCCUCUACUGGUUCUUCAUCUACUUCUGUAUGUGCUUUGUCUGAUUUUUGUAAUGAUGACAAUGUGUCUGAACUGUCUUGGGUGCCACCUUCCCCUUCUUCCUCUACUGGCUGUUCAUCUACUUCUGUAUGUGAUUUGUCAGAUUCUUGUAAUGAUGACAAUGUGUCUGACAGCAAGGAUGUUGCCUUGCCUUCAACUGUGCACAAUUCCAUUUGUAAUAAUGUUGUUACAACUGAUAUGAAUUACAUUUGGCAUUUAAGACUAGCACAUACUUCCUUUGCAAAUAUGAGACAUAUUUCUUGUUUGUCUUUUCCAUUUGCUUCUAAACAACCUUUUCCUCGUUCUGUCUGUCCUAUGGCCAAACAAACCAGACUCCCUUUUCCUGAUAGCAGUAUCAGUACUACUAGGCCUUUUCAAUUGAUACAUGUGGAUAAUUGGGGACCUUAACAUACUUCUACUUCAUCUGGUUGUAGAUAUUUCCUUACAACAGUUGAUGAUUUCUCUAGGGCAACCUGGACACACUUAAUGUGCUCUAGUUUCUGGUUUGUCUUUUCCAUUUGCUUCUAAACAACCUUUUCCUUGUUCUGUCUGUCCUACGGCCAAACAAACUAGACUCCCUUUUCCUGAUAGAAGUAUCAGUACUACUAGGCCUUUUCAAUUGAUACAUGUGGAUACUUGGGGACCUUACCAUACUNNNNNNNNNNNNNNNNNNNNNNNNNNNNNNNNNNNNNNNNNNNNNNNNNNNCUACUUCUUCUGGUUGUAGAUAUUUUCUUACAAUAGUUGAUGAUUUCUCUAGGGCAACCUGGACACACUUAAUGGGCUCUAAAAGCAAUGCCUUCUCCUUGCUUAAAUCUUUCAUCUGUUUGGUUAAAACUCAGUUUAAUACUGUGGUUCAAACUGUUAGAAGUGACAAUGCUUUAGAAUUGGGGCCUAGCAUUGAGGGUAUAUCUUUCUUUAAUAGCCAGGGGAUUAUUCAUCAAACCUCCUGCCCUCAUUCACCUCAAUAGAAUGGUGUUGUUGAAAGAAAGCAUAGAACCCUUCUUGAAACAUGUAGCGCCAUACUUUAUCAAUCUAGACUACCUGUGUCUUUCUGGGGGGAUUAUCUGUUGACUGCUACUUAUCUCCUUAACAGAAUACCAUCCAGAUUACUUCACAAUAAGUCUCCCAAUGAAAUGUUGUAUGGGAAAGCUCCAUCCUAUUCUCAUUCGAGGGCAUUUGGGUGCCUUGCUUAUGCUACUGUCCACAUUCCUCAAAGGAACAAGUUAAAGCCUAGAGCCUUCUCUUGUGUUUUUCUGGGUUACCCAUUUGCCAAAAAGGGUUAUAAACUGUAUGAUCUGGCAUCCAAGAAAUGUUUUGUCUCCAGGGAUGUUAUAUUCCAUGAAACAUGUUUUCCUUUUAAGAAU
This 1829-nucleotide long non-coding RNA is filed under the name Nicotiana benthamiana. Its description in RNAcentral is "long non-coding RNA (NBEN_LNC018405)". The record is from RNAcentral. Lineage: Eukaryota; Viridiplantae; Streptophyta; Magnoliopsida; Solanales; Solanaceae.